AUAUUGGACAAUGGGCGAAAGCCUGAUCCAGCCAUGCCGCGUGAGUGAUGAAGGCCCUAGGGUUGUAAAGCUCUUUUGUGCGGGAAGAUAAUGACGGUACCGCAAGAAUAAGCCCCGGCUAACUUCGUGCCAGCAGCCGCGGUAAUACGAAGGGGGCUAGCGUUGCUCGGAAUCACUGGGCGUAAAGGGUGCGUAGGCGGGUUUCUAAGUCAGAGGUGAAAGCCUGGAGCUCAACUCCAGAACUGCCUUUGAUACUUUUAGUCUUGAGUUCGGGAGAGAGAGACGGAAUUCCAGGUGUAGUGGUGAAAUACGUAGAUAUCUGGAAGAACACCAGUUGCGAAGGCGGUCUCUUGGUCCGACACUGACGCUGAGGCGCGAAAGCGUGGGGAGCAAACA
Molecule: ribosomal RNA, 396 nt
Filed under: uncultured bacterium
Lineage: Bacteria
Description: bacterial SSU rRNA
Rfam family: Bacterial small subunit ribosomal RNA
Source: RNAcentral